GGGUUGUGAGGUUAAGCGACUAAGCGUACACGGUGGAUGCCCUGGCAGUCAGAGGCGAUGAAGGACGUGCUAAUCUGCGAAAAGCGUCGGUAAGGUGAUAUGAACCGUUACAGCCGGCGAUGUCCGAAUGGGGAAACCCAGUGUGAUUCGUCACACUAUCGUUAACUGAAUACAUAGGUUAACGAGGCGAACCGGGGGAACUGAAACAUCUAAGUACCCCGAGGAAAAGAAAUCAACCGAGAUUCCCCCAGUAGCGGCGAGCGAACGGGGAGCAGCCCAGAGUCUGAAUCAGCUUGUGUGUUAGUGGAACGGUCUGGAAAGUCCGACGGUACAGGGUGAUAGUCCCGUACACCAAAAUGCACAGGCUGUGAACUCGAAGAGUAGGGCGGGACACGUGGUAUCCUGUCUGAAUAUGGGGGGACCAUCCUCCAAGGCUAAAUACUCCUGACUGACCGAUAGUGAACCAGUACCGUGAGGGAAAGGCGAAAAGAACCCCGGCGAGGGGAGUGAAAAAGAACCUGAAACCGUGUACGUACAAGCAGUGGGAGCACCUUCGGGUGUGACUGCGUACCUUUUGUAUAAUGGGUCAGCGACUUAUAUUCUGUAGCAAGGUUAACCGUAUAGGGGAGCCGCAGGGAAACCGAGUCUUAACUGGGCGUUAAGUUGCAGGGUAUAGACCCGAAACCCGGUGAUCUAGCCAUGGGCAGGUUGAAGGUUGGGUAACACUAACUGGAGGACCGAACCGACUAAUGUUGAAAAAUUAGCGGAUGACUUGUGGCUGGGGGUGAAAGGCCAAUCAAACCGGGAGAUAGCUGGUUCUCCCCGAAAGCUAUUUAGGUAGCGCCUCGUGAAUUCAUCUUCGGGGGUAGAGCACUGUUUCGGCUAGGGGGUCAUCCCGACUUACCAACCCGAUGCAAACUACGAAUACCGAAGAAUGUUAUCACGGGAGACACACGGCGGGUGCUAACGUCCGUCGUGAAGAGGGAAACAACCCAGACCGCCAGCUAAGGUCCCAAAGUCAUGGUUAAGUGGGAAACGAUGUGGGAAGGCACAGACAGCCAGGAUGUUGGCUUAGAAGCAGCCAUCAUUUAAAGAAAGCGUAAUAGCUCACUGGUCGAGUCGGCCUGCGCGGAAGAUGUAACGGGGCUAAACCAUGCACCGAAGCUGCGGCAGCGACACUAUGUGUUGUUGGGUAGGGGAGCGUUCUGUAAGCCUGCGAAGGUGACCUGUGAGGGUUGCUGGAGGUAUCAGAAGUGCGAAUGCUGACAUAAGUAACGAUAAAGCGGGUGAAAAGCCCGCUCGCCGGAAGACCAAGGGUUCCUGUCCAACGUUAAUCGGGGCAGGGUGAGUCGACCCCUAAGGCGAGGCCGAAAGGCGUAGUCGAUGGGAAACAGGUUAAUAUUCCUGUACUUGGUGUUACUGCGAAGGGGGGACGGAGAAGGCUAUGUUAGCCGGGCGACGGUUGUCCCGGUUUAAGCAUGUAGGCUGAUUAUCCAGGCAAAUCCGGAUAAUCAAGGCUGAGGUGUGAUGACGAGGCACUACGGUGCUGAAGUAACAAAUGCCCUGCUUCCAGGAAAAGCCUCUAAGCAUCAGGUAACAUCAAAUCGUACCCCAAACCGACACAGGUGGUCAGGUAGAGAAUACCAAGGCGCUUGAGAGAACUCGGGUGAAGGAACUAGGCAAAAUGGUGCCGUAACUUCGGGAGAAGGCACGCUGGUGUGUAGGUGAAGUCCCUGCGGAUGGAGCUGAGACCAGUCGAAGAUACCAGCUGGCUGCAACUGUUUAUUAAAAACACAGCACUGUGCAAACACGAAAGUGGACGUAUACGGUGUGACGCCUGCCCGGUGCCGGAAGGUUAAUUGAUGGGGUUAUCCGUAAGGAGAAGCUCUUGAUCGAAGCCCCGGUAAACGGCGGCCGUAACUAUAACGGUCCUAAGGUAGCGAAAUUCCUUGUCGGGUAAGUUCCGACCUGCACGAAUGGCGUAAUGAUGGCCAGGCUGUCUCCACCCGAGACUCAGUGAAAUUGAACUCGCUGUGAAGAUGCAGUGUACCCGCGGCAAGACGGAAAGACCCCGUGAACCUUUACUAUAGCUUGACACUGAACAUUGAGCCUUGAUGUGUAGGAUAGGUGGGAGGCUUUGAAGCGUGGACGCCAGUCUGCGUGGAGCCAACCUUGAAAUACCACCCUUUAAUGUUUGAUGUUCUAACGUUGGCCCCUGACCGGGGUUGCGGACAGUGUCUGGUGGGUAGUUUGACUGGGGCGGUCUCCUCCCAAAGCGUAACGGAGGAGCACGAAGGUUAGCUAAUCCUGGUCGGACAUCAGGAGGUUAGUGCAAUGGCAUAAGCUAGCUUGACUGCGAGCGUGACGGCGCGAGCAGGUGCGAAAGCAGGUCAUAGUGAUCCGGUGGUUCUGAAUGGAAGGGCCAUCGCUCAACGGAUAAAAGGUACUCCGGGGAUAACAGGCUGAUACCGCCCAAGAGUUCAUAUCGACGGCGGUGUUUGGCACCUCGAUGUCGGCUCAUCACAUCCUGGGGCUGAAGUAGGUCCCAAGGGUAUGGCUGUUCGCCAUUUAAAGUGGUACGCGAGCUGGGUUUAGAACGUCGUGAGACAGUUCGGUCCCUAUCUGCCGUGGGCGCUGGAGAAUUGAGGGGGGCUGCUCCUAGUACGAGAGGACCGGAGUGGACGCAUCACUGGUGUUCGGGUUGUCAUGCCAAUGGCACUGCCCGGUAGCUAAAUGCGGAAGAGAUAAGUGCUGAAAGCAUCUAAGCACGAAACUUGCCCCGAGAUGAGUUCUCCCUGAGACUUUAAGUCUCCUGAAGGAACGUUAAAGACGAUGACGUUGAUAGGCCGGGUGUGUAAGCGCAGCGAUGCGUUGAGCUAACCGGUACUAAUGAACCGUGAGGCUUAACCUUACAACGCCGAAG
Molecule: ribosomal RNA, 2923 nt
Filed under: Klebsiella pneumoniae
Lineage: Bacteria; Pseudomonadati; Pseudomonadota; Gammaproteobacteria; Enterobacterales; Enterobacteriaceae
Description: 23S ribosomal RNA
Rfam family: Bacterial large subunit ribosomal RNA
Source: RNAcentral